Molecule: non-coding RNA, 86 nt
Organism: Daldinia sp. EC12
Lineage: Eukaryota; Fungi; Ascomycota; Sordariomycetes; Xylariales; Hypoxylaceae
Source: the annotation of a GenBank genome assembly
GGGUUCAUGGCCUAAUGGUAAGGCGUCAGAUUUCGGUCAUAUUUCCUGUUCUCUGAAGAUUGCAGGUUCGAUCCCUGCUGAGCUCG